GGAUUAGAUACCCUGGUAGUCCACGCUGUAAACGAUGUCUACUUGGAGGUUGUGACCUAGAGUCGUGGCUUUCGGAGCUAACGCGUUAAGUAGACCGCCUGGGGAGUACGGUCGCAAGAUUAAAACUCAAAUGAAUUGACGGGGGCCCGCACAAGCGGUGGAGCAUGUGGUUUAAUUCGAUGCAACGCGAAGAACCUUACCUACUCUUGACAUUCAGAGAAGCCGAAAGAGAUUUUGGUGUGCCUUCGGGAACUCUGAGACAGGUGCUGCAUGGCUGUCGUCAGCUCGUGCCG
Molecule: ribosomal RNA, 293 nt
Filed under: uncultured bacterium
Lineage: Bacteria
Description: partial 16S ribosomal RNA
Rfam family: Bacterial small subunit ribosomal RNA
Source: RNAcentral